This 424-nucleotide ribosomal RNA is filed under the name Verrucomicrobiota bacterium. RNAcentral's name for it is "Verrucomicrobia bacterium partial 16S ribosomal RNA". It matches the Rfam family "Bacterial small subunit ribosomal RNA", at positions 355 to 776 of the family's 1533-position model. The record is from RNAcentral. Lineage: Bacteria; Pseudomonadati; Verrucomicrobiota.
UGAGGAAUAUUGGUCAAUGGACGCAAGUCUGAACCAGCCAAGUAGCGUGCAGGGUGACGGCCCUAUGGGUUGUAAACUGCUUUUAUAUGGGGAUAAAGUGGGGAACGUGUUCUCUUUUGCAGGUACCACAUGAAUAAGGACCGGCUAAUUCCGUGCCAGCAGCCGCGGUAAUACGGAAGGUCCGGGCGUUAUCCGGAUUUAUUGGGUUUAAAGGGAGCGUAGGCUGUCUAUUAAGCGUGUUGUGAAAUAUACCGGCUCAACCGGUGGCUUGCAGCGCGAACUGGUCGACUUGAGUAUGCAGGAAGUAGGCGGAAUUCAUGGUGUAGCGGUGAAAUGCUUAGAUAUCAUGACGAACUCCGAUUGCGCAGGCAGCUUACUGUAGCAUAACUGACGCUGAUGCUCGAAAGUGCGGGUAUCAAACAGG